Molecule: signal recognition particle RNA, 148 nt
Filed under: Macaca mulatta (Rhesus monkey)
Lineage: Eukaryota; Metazoa; Chordata; Mammalia; Primates; Cercopithecidae
Description: Metazoan signal recognition particle RNA (ENSMMUG00000058100.1)
Rfam family: Metazoan signal recognition particle RNA
About the family: The signal recognition particle (SRP) is a universally conserved ribonucleoprotein.
Source: Rfam by way of RNAcentral
GCUGGGCAUGGUGGUGUGUGCCUGUAAUCCCAGCUUCUCAGGAGGCUGAGGCAGGAGAAUCACUUGAACCCAGGAGGUGGAGGUUGCAGUGAGCUGAGAUCGUGCCACUGCCCUCCAGCCUGGGUGACAGAGUGAGACUCUGUCUUUA